This 491-nucleotide ribosomal RNA is filed under the name uncultured bacterium. Its description in RNAcentral is "partial 16S ribosomal RNA". It matches the Rfam family "Bacterial small subunit ribosomal RNA", at positions 28 to 507 of the family's 1533-position model. The record is from RNAcentral.
GAUGAACGCUAGCUACAGGCUUAACACAUGCAAGUCGAGGGGAAACGACAUCGAAAGCUUGCUUUUGAUGGGCGUCGACCGGCGCACGGGUGAGUAACGCGUAUCCAACCUGCCCAUCACUUGGGGAUAACCUUGCGAAAGUAAGACUAAUACCCAAUGAUAUCUCUAGAAGACAUCUGAAAGAGAUUAAAGAUUUAUCGGUGAUGGAUGGGGAUGCGUCUGAUUAGCUUGUUGGCGGGGUAACGGCCCACCAAGGCAACGAUCAGUAGGGGUUCUGAGAGGAAGGUCCCCCACAUUGGAACUGAGACACGGUCCAAACUCCUACGGGAGGCAGCAGUGAGGAAUAUUGGUCAAUGGGCGAGAGCCUGAACCAGCCAAGUAGCGUGCAGGAAGACGGCCCUAUGGGUUGUAAACUGCUUUUAUAAGGGAAUAAAGUGAGAGUCGUGACUCUUUUUGUAUGUACCUUAUGAAUAGGACCGGCUAAUUCCGUG